Molecule: ribosomal RNA, 253 nt
Filed under: uncultured archaeon
Lineage: Archaea
Description: partial 16S ribosomal RNA
Rfam family: Archaeal small subunit ribosomal RNA
Source: RNAcentral
CAGCCGUAAACAAUGUGCGUUAGGUGUGUCGGUAACCACGCGUUACUGAUGCGCCGAAGAGAAAUCGUGAAACGCACCACCUGGGAAGUACGGUCGCAAGGCUGAAACUUAAAGGAAUUGGCGGGGGAGGCACCACAACAGGUGGAGCCUGCGGUUUAAUUUGGAUUCAACGCCGGACAUCUCACCGGAUAAGACAGCUGAAUGAUUGUCAAUCUGAAGGUUUUACAUGACUAGCUGAGAGGUGGUGCAUGGC